Salmo salar (Atlantic salmon) is the source of this 55-nucleotide non-coding RNA. Lineage: Eukaryota; Metazoa; Chordata; Actinopteri; Salmoniformes; Salmonidae. The record is from Rfam.
UGCAUUCACUACUGUUAAGUCGCUCUGGAUAAGAGCGUCUGCUAAAUGACUAAAA